GGCCCGCGGGGGAGAGGUGGCGCGUUAGAGAUGUGUGUGGGAGAGAGGGAGCGAGAGAGAGAGAGAGAGAGAGGGGGAGCGAGACCUCCGCUGGCCCCGCGAACUUGUCAAGUACAAAAAACCAAGCUUUUGGGCUCAAAAACCUAGACCAUCAUGGCUACAAAAACUACUGCUGCUCAGAGAGUAUGUAAUUCUGGAGCUCCUUAAGGAAAAAAGUAGUGCGAUGCAACAUCAGGAGAGUGGCCAAGUGGUCUUCUGCACAGCAGCCAUGAACUUCAACCAUGAACUGAAGAAGACUCAUCAAAUGCCUUAGGAAAGACAGGAUGGAGUUGGAAGAGAAGCAGGGAUCUCCAUGAAGGACAGUGAGUUAUAGUCGUGGUCGGCAUGCUUGGUUGGUCUGCCAGUCAACAAAUGUAGCUCAGACCUGGCCACAGUGUGAGCUGCCUCCUGUUCUCCUAAACAGCAGAAGCUGAAAUUUAGAGAAAUCUGUUUAGAAGGGAAUGGGAAAACAGCCAGGCUAGCUUCAGCACAAGUGUGUUGGUGGCACCUGUAAGCAUGCAGGUGUGUGGAGGAACAGGUCCUGUUCUCGCUGUUGUUACUCCCACAUAGGCAGACUCUGUAAUUGAUUAUGUGUGGGUAGGGCCCUAUUGAAAUUCAGGAGAUUCUGCAGUAGUGCGGGGUUCUUUUUGUGAAAGUUCAGUUGCAAGAUCAGGACCCUACUGUGACUCCUUACUGUGCAUUCUGUCACUGUCUCAUUGAUUGUACUGGAACCUGCCUAUUGGGAUAAUUACCAAAUACUAUAUUCCGCAAAACUUCUUAAUGGCACUGAGGCUUUGUGGAUAGUUGGUCACAUGAUGAGAAAAUUCAGCUGUAAUUCACCAUGGGACCCUGAAGUUCUUCCCUACUGCAAUUAGACUGCCGGAGUUCAUGAUUCCUGAGAAGUAACACCUUGAAGUUCUGGCACUAUCUUCUACAAAGUAACUUACACUGAGCUGGCUUCCUGUUACUGUGUCAAUGAAACAUCAAAUGUUGAUACUAUGUGUGAAACAACAUUUGAUAUUAUGGCUAUUAAGCUACUUGAAAAAAUUAUAUACAAAUGGAUUUUAUGUAUACAAGACCUGGCAUUUAAAAAUGUAUGUCAUGGAUGCAGGUAAUAAAUGUUUAUUAAUCGUUACAGGACAGAAAAUACUUAUAUUUAUGUACAAGAUGUUAGUCUUAGCUCUUGCUAUUUUUAUCUCCUAAAUAUCUUAUAAUAAGAUGGUUAUAAAUAUUUAAAGUUAUGAAUCUUUUAAUUUGUUGAAGCACAGUGUGCAUCAUUUAGAAUGGCACUAAAGGAGAGAAGUGGACAUGCCCUUCUCAUAACAGCUAAACAUGAAAAGAAGGUAUCAGAGAUAAUGGUAUCAUUCAAAUUUAUAGAAAUUGUUCUGUUUUGCUGUAUAAGCAUAGCUCUUUACAGAAUGAUGAUCUCAUCCUAAGGUUGCAGUUAUCUAAAUAGAUUCAUUGCUGAACUUUAUUCUAGUGUUUUUAUAUCUUUGCUGGAAGUAAGAGAACACUAACACUUAAAAUUUAAGUUAUUGAUCUUCAGCCAUGCUACAACUUUCAGGACUUGGUAUUUAACCCCAGGAUUGGAUCCAUAGCUCUUUUAAAUUCUGGAAUUCGAGAAACUGUGCAGAUUCUGCAGAUCACAUGGCUGGCAGACGCAGAAAUAAUUUCACAAAUGAAAAUGGAAGAAGUAAAAUCCAUGAAGAUUGUGUUGAAGAUCCUCAGUAAGGAUAAAGCAUGUUACCUGUUCAUGCAAGCAGUGCUAUUAUUCUGCUUACACUCCUUGGUUUUCUGGUCAGGAAGCUAAUUUCAGCAUUGCCAAUGCCCUUUUUUAUUGAAUUCUAAUUCUCUCUAGCACAUGCUCUUCAGGUUUCAGCAUUAAGGCUGUUGGACACAUUGAAGUGCAAUCUACACUCACAGCUCAGUAUUUAAGGCAUAUGCAGAACUUCAGCAUUAAUUACACAUUUUAUACUUGGUCUACUUUGCCUGUAGUGCUGAACUACUGUGAUAGUUUGAUUUUUAUGAUUUGAAGCAUGAAGCUUUCAAAGCCAUGUGUCAAAGGUCAAGUGAGUGGCUCAGCAAUGUGUGACACUACAAAAACUGUUUCCUUCUCGAAAGAUCGCAGACUACUCAUUUUCUCUGGGGUUCAUGGGGGUGACAAGGAUGGACUCCCAAGGCAUGGCUGCAAUGGUUGUUUGAAAUAAGAAACUGAUACCCUUGGUGUCAUUCAUCUCUGAUCACUGGGAAUUGGAGCUUGAAGGAAGGUGGAAGAAAACUCCUGCAGAGAGUAGGAGGAAUAAUUUGUCUUGUAAGGGGGAUAUAAUGGCAUUUUUAAAGCUUUUACCAAAUAUCAGGACAUGUGAUAAGAGUUUAUGGAUUGGGAAUUAAUGAAAGAUUGUGAAAUGGGGAAGAAUUCACAUUAUGGGAAGCGAUGGAGAACUACAACCUAAGCACUCUGAAAUUUGUGACCCAGCCCACAGAAUAUCUUGAGGUGAUAGAACAAUCUCAGAUGACUGUUGUUUAAAAAUAUAAUUUGCAAGCCCCUGCACCCUUCCCCAGACAGACUGGGAAAAUACAUUCCUUUUAUUAAUAUUACUUCAGGGGACUGGAGGGUAAUCUGAGCAGUGAAACAUACAGUUUAUGGGACUUGCUACAGAAUUCAGAUUAAAAAAAAAAAAAAGCAGUGCUUAUUUGUACCUGGGAGUUGGUAUCUGUUUUAAAAAAUGCUGUUCUAAAGAGAUUUUUUUUACAUUUUUAUAUGUAUUAAAUAACACAUCUAUAUGAUGAAACAUGAAAUGCAUAAUUGAAACAAUGACUAUAAGUAUAGAAUUGUGUAAAUACUACAUAAAUAAUAUCUGUAAAUAUUAAAUAAACUCUUUCAUUUCUAGAGGUUACAGAAAACACUUUAGGAUUUUAUACAGUCUUUCCACCUCUUCCCCCACUAGUUUUGAAUGUAAUUGCAAUUUUAGAGCUAAUCCAUAUAUUAACUUUUUAACAUUUGCAGUUGCAUUAAAUUUUACUGAGAAACAAUUUAGUUUGGGGAAACCGUUGAAUCUGUGGUUUGUGUUGUUUGAACAAGAAGUCCCUGAGUAUUUGUCCCAAAUGCCAAUAUUUUUCCUACACUGGCAGCUGUAUAUUUGUGGUCACCUGAUGGUAAUGCAUGCAAAGACCCUGUGCAGCAGCAGUGCCUCUCACUGGGGAUAGCAGGAGGGAAACUGGAAGUAAUCAAAGCACACAGAAUUUGCUCUUCUUGGUGGAGGUCUCAUGUAGGCAGCACUUGAAUGACACUUUAUUUUUCUGGAUCAGGUGAAGGUAAGAGAUAGAAACCAUUUGCUUCUGUUCCCUGGAAUGGGCUGGAAAGAACAGCUCUUCUGAGACACAGCUUUACACUGAACAUGAGCAGAGCAGUGUCAUCAGCAAUUCUGAAAAUGUGUUUACAAUGGUUGGGGAAAAUAUUUAGUCAGCAUUUAAAUAUGUUAGCUCAUACACAAAUUUUAGAUGUCUACUGCACUUAACAUUUCCAAUAACUGGUUUCCUUGAGAUUUUUAGUGAUACAAAUUAAUAACAAAAGUCAGUUAAUACAGAGUGUAGUUAUGAGACCAAAACACAUGUGGUUUAAAUUUAAAGAGUUAAAUGUUAGCAUUUCCCUAUAGAGAAAGGUUAUUUGGGCAGUGGUAUACUGACAUUAUCACCACCCACAGAGAAGGGGACCUCUUGAUCAUAUUGGUUACGCAGAAAUUCAAAAAAGGAAAACUGUAGGUCUAGAGGGUUUGCUUGGUAUAAGUGAAUCACACAGGAAAAAUGCUGAUACCCAGGGUUGUUGUAGUGACUUUCUUUGAUGGUUAGAAAGAGAAAUAAGCACAGGAUAUUUUUGUCAAGUUAGAGGGUUUAGAUUGCUGCUUGCAAGGUAAAAUUUAUCUUAGUUAUUAAUAUAGUGGAAAGUUAAAUGAUGAUCAUGGAAAUAUGAUAAUAAGUGCUGUUGGAAAGCGGACAGAAAUUUUUUUUUGUUUAA
Vidua chalybeata is the source of this 4054-nucleotide long non-coding RNA. RefSeq lists it as uncharacterized. The transcript is spliced from 16 exons. The record is from RefSeq and is a predicted model, not a curated record. NCBI's taxonomy places the organism in Eukaryota, Metazoa, Chordata, Aves, Passeriformes, Viduidae.